GUAGGACAGGCAUCAGCAGCUACAGGGGGUUGGGGAUGAGGAACACAGGAAGAACUGAAACCCCAGGUGGAGUGACGGAAUCAGGUACUGACUGAAGCUCGCCCUCUCCCACACCCAGGGAACUUGAACUGCAUCCUAAGGCAGCUGCUUAUGACAGCAUCAGCUUUUUAUUAACCAGGUCCGGAGUGAUGUGCUUCCAGGUGGAAUCAGUAAAACAGAUCAUGGCAGUGGAAACAAUAAAGGACAUCACUAAGGUAAGUUAGAGCUAAGAAAAAGAAAGUGACAGAUGAUUCUGUACAACAGCAAGACCCUGUUCAGGUGGUUUCAGCUAUGGAAUGGAUUCACUUAAGGUGGGACAAAAGAAAAAGGGGCAG
This 374-nucleotide long non-coding RNA is filed under the name Chinchilla lanigera (long-tailed chinchilla). Its description in RNAcentral is "lncRNA (ENSCLAG00000024480.1)". The record is from RNAcentral. Lineage: Eukaryota; Metazoa; Chordata; Mammalia; Rodentia; Chinchillidae.